RNAcentral lists this ribosomal RNA (468 nucleotides) under uncultured bacterium. RNAcentral describes it as "partial 16S ribosomal RNA". It matches the Rfam family "Bacterial small subunit ribosomal RNA", at positions 28 to 507 of the family's 1533-position model. The record is from RNAcentral.
GACGAACGCUGGCGGCGUGCUUAACACAUGCAAGUCGAACGGAAAGGCCCUGCUUUUGUGGGGUGCUCGAGUGGCGAACGGGUGUGUAACACGUGAGUAACCUGCCCUUGACUUUGGGAUAACUUCAGGAAACUGGGGCUAAUACCGGAUAGGAGCUCCUGCUGCAUGGUGGGGGUUGGAAAGUUUCGGCGGAUGGGGAUGGACUCGCGGCUUAUCAGCUUGUUGGUGGGGUAGUGGUUUACAGAGGCUUUGACGGGUAGCCGGCCUGAGAGGGUGAGCGGCCACUGGGGGACUGAGACACGGCACAGACUCCUACGGGGGAGAGGAGGGGGGAAUAUUACAAAAUGGGCGGGAGCCUGAUGCAGCAGCGCCGCGUGCGGGAUGACGGCCUGCGGUUUGUAAACCUCUUUCGCCUGUCACGAAGCGUGAGUGACGGGAAGGGGUAGAGAAGCACCGGCUAACUACGUG